Molecule: long non-coding RNA, 5085 nt
Filed under: Sus scrofa (pig)
Lineage: Eukaryota; Metazoa; Chordata; Mammalia; Artiodactyla; Suidae
Description: lncRNA (ENSSSCG00000053267.1)
Source: RNAcentral
UUAUCAAUUAUUUCUUUCACGGAUAAUGCCAUUGGUGUUAUAUCUAAAAAGGCAUCAGAAUAACCAGUCAUCUAAGUUAUUUCCUGCUGUUAUUUGCUAGGAAUUUUAUAGUUUUAUGUUACAUAUUUAUGUCUAUGAACCAUUCUGAGUAAAUUUUUAUGAGGAGUGCAAGGUCUGUAUUUAGAUGCUUUUUUUUUUUUUCACAUGUAGAUGUCCAGUUGUUCCAGUGCAAGUUACUAAAGAAACUAACUUGCUCCAUUUGUAUCACCUUUGCAUCUUUGUCAAAGAUCAAUUGACUCUUUUUCUGGAGAUCUAUUCCAGGGCUCUCUGUUCUGUUCUAGUGAUCUAACUGUCUCUUCCUUCACCUAUACUACACUGUUUCAAUUACUGUAGCUUAAUAGUAAGUUCUGAAGUUGGGCAGUAUCAGUCCUCCAACUUUGUUUUUCUCCUUCAAUAUUGUAUUGGGCAUUCUGUUUCUUUUGCCUCUCCAUAUAAACUUUAGAGUCAGUUGAUCAAUAUCCAUAAGGUAACUUACUGAGAUUUUCACUGAGAUUGCACUGAAUCUAUAGAUCAAUUUGGGAAGAACUGACAUCUUGAUACUAUCGAGUCUUCUUGUCUAUGAACAUGGAAUAUCUCUCCAUUUAUUUAGUUCUCCUUUGAUUUCAUUCAUCAGGGUUGUAUGGUUUUCCUCAUGUAGAUUUACAUAUAUUUUGUUCAUUGUAAGCUUUUGAGAAAGAUGAGGUUUCUUUUUGCAAGUUGGGUUCUUUGCACAUCCUAGUAAGUAUGAGACCUGUUUUAGUUUAGAGAGGAAAGUUCAUUACCUAAAAUUGUGUGGAAAUGAAAAAAAGUAGGGAUCAUCAGUUAUUGCAUUUUUAUUUUUCUCCACACAAUAUAUAGUAUCAAAGAGUUUUCUGUCACAGUACUUAUGAUAAAUAUAAUUAUGCCUUUACUAGUUAUAUGGCUAUGGAGUUGCUUUGCUAUAGUUUAAGCUCCAUGAGGGCAAGGUCAAAAUUUGUACCUUCACCAUGGUAUGGCUGCCAUAUAGUGCAUGCUCUGCAAAUAUGAACAAAAAUGGUAUGUGCCAUAAAAGAGGGGAAGAUCUCAAGUUCUAUAACAAAAUUAGAAAAAAAAAAAACCUUUCAAAAGAGAUGGCAGGUAAUGUAGCCUUAAAUAGAGGCUGAUAGUUUGACAUAUAGAUAUGAAAGAUUACAUGGUGCUCAGUGUAAUUAUGGAAUUGAGUAUACUUUAGUGUGUAGUAGUCCUUUGAAAAUUGAUAAUAUAUAUUUAUAAAGCAGCUUAUUAAUAAUCUUUUAAAACAUUAGAAUUAAUCCCAUUUGUUUACCCUAAAACCAAUCUAGGGAAAGGGACAUUUUCUCUGUAUGAAGGGAAGCAUAAGGGAAGGACUGUGAAAUCUUAGCUAUUGAAGGAUGUAAAGAGUUAAGCAUUAUUCCAAAGUGUUAGCUUAAAAGACCAGUAGGCACAGUCUCAUUCUGAUAAAGAGACUGAGCAAGAGAAGAAUUUAAGUAUGAGAUAAGAAGCUCUGUUUCCAUCCACCAGCAAAGUAAUUGAUGAAGCGGCAAACUUAGAGACAAAUUGUAGACAUGAGGCAGCAUGCCAUGUGGAGAGAGCUUUGGUAUUAAAUAAAUAUAGGCUUUACCUUCAGCUCUGCCACUAACUAGCUAGCAACUUGGGACAUAUUAGAUAAACUUAUUAAGUAUCAGCUUCUUUAGUAAGAUGAAGAUAAUGCCCUGUAGGAUUUUUAUUUAGAUAAAAUAAUAUAUGUAAAAGGGACUAGCACAGAAUUUAAAACAUCAUAAGUAUUCAGGAAAUGCUUUUCUAUCUUUUCUUUGUCUGCUUUGUCCGCUUAGGUCUUGAGUUUUGCUUCUUUCUAAGAAGAUAUUAAUUUCUUUGUACCACACAGGUUCUUUGUGUAUCCCAAAAUUUGGAAGCAAGUAUUUAAAGAGAAUAGCAACCCAAGUCUAAUAGUAAAACCAACUAGUUUGAUCUGCAGCAUCAAAUCUUGAAAAUUAAAGUUUGGAAUUGUUACUUCUGAAAAUGCUUAAAACAAUUUAUCCAUUUAGUUAGUCCGCCUCCUCUGUUCUUUUCUCAAGUUAAAAGAGAAUUAAAGGUCAAGUUUAUAGCUCAGAUGUAGAUUAAUGUAUAUCAAAUUCUCUACUCUAGUUGAAAAAUUCAGCCAGGUCCUGUAGUGAUGGAACAGACCUUGCUGUGACUGGAAGGACCCUGGAACUUAAAUGAAGCAGGAGUCAAACCAUUUAUAACUAGGUGCUGAGAAAUAGCACAUGACACCAUUCAGAUUGCUGGAUUUACAGUCAGAAGAUUUCUGCUUCAACCCUUGGUCUUCUGCUUAUUAGCUUGGUGAUCCUAAAUAGGACCUACCUGAGCUCCCAGAAGAAAACUCUGGAGCUUCAAUAGUGCUGACCGAAAAUGCUUAGUAAAUGUUUGUUGAAUGAAUAAAUGUCUCAAAAACUGACAGCAAUACUUAGUUUCCAUGUAUUGGUGCUGUGGUCCCCUAUAGCUUCCCUUAAGCCCACAGACUAUGUAAAAUCCAACUUAGUUGCCAGCCCCCACUCUUUAGCCAGAAAUGUGUGUUCCUGUCAUGCAAUGAAAGCAACUGGCCUAGGUGGCUGACAUAUCACUUGUCAUCUUUAAUAUUCCUUCAUAAUAAAAUCCCUUCAUGGAUUCAUAUAUCACCUGUCAGGUAAUCUUCUAGAGAAGCUUGACUAUAACAAUUUGUACAGUGGUUUGGAUGAUGAAUGAGAUGGGUUAGAUCAUUUAAUUCACUGUAUGGCACCCAAAUGUUAAAGCUGAAGAAGAAGAAUGUCUGACAAAUUGUUUGUUGUCAUUAAGGUUUAUUUCUUAUAUGCCUUCGAUGGUUUCCCCCACCUCAUUCAUUGUCCAACACACAAAGCUAACUAUUACAAGGAAGACAAUACUUAAUGGAUGCUAGACAAAUGAUAGUUGAAGCUGUCUUGUGCCUUACCCGAUAAGUGAGAGCCAAAUUAUAAUGUCAUUAGAUGGGAUGCCUCAAGUUAUUAUAAAGUUGUGCUUCCCACAAUGUCCUUCCUUUAUCCUCAGCAUGGUUCUUCCUGGCAUCUGUUUUCCUCAGCAGCUGCACUGUUUUUAUAAUAGCUGAGAUCAAGUUUUGAAUCUUCUGUUAUGCCAAUUUUUAAAUGCCUUCAAUUGACACCUAAAAACGUAUAUUUUGGGUCAUACAAAUAUAAAUUUUAAAAGCCGUAAUUCACAGGGAGUUUGGGCAUAUAUAAGCCCCCAUAUACACUAACUCUGGUGCUAUUUUCUCCAGGUACAUACUCUCUUCUUACACUGUGCGUUCUUGUAUCUAUUUCACAGCCAAUUCUUGGAAUGUUGACACUCAUUUAAUAACUGAAGAAUACACGAAUGAGUGAAUAAAAGUACAUUCAAAGGUAUACAUAGCAGCAUACUCAAUGCAUGUUAGUGUAAAAUAUUUUGCUGAUGAAUUGACUCUAGAAAAUGAAUUCCACUUCUACCACAGGAAAGUUAAGACUUCUUGGCAUUUUUGUGGGCAACAAAUCAAUUAUCCUGAUUAUUUUUAAAAUAUUUAUUAUUUUAGUUCCAGUGUUGUGAGCAAGGUAAGACAAAAAGAACAAAGAGGCUGAGUCCAUGUGACAUUCCAAAGCUGCUGUAACAGAGAAAAAAUAAUGAUGGGGUUGGUGGUUAGGGGGAUAAGGGACCCAAAGGAUAACCAUAGAUAUAGAAACUUUGGCUGUUCAUGACCCUGCAGACUUCUUGGACCCUCUAUGUCCUUAUCUGCACUAUCUACCUUUUCUGGUUUUUAAUGGGCCUGUUGACCUAUGGCUAGAACUCUCAGGCAGGUAUCACAAACCAUAUCAGCACAGUUCUUUAUUUCAGUGGCCAAUAAAUAUAAAUAUUUAGCUUUGAGGUUAUGUGUUCCUCAGAACUGAGGUUCCCUGAAUCAGAUAGCUUAUUUGUUGAUUUAUUUUUAUUGUCUAUGUUUCACUUAAAAAAAAUCUGAUUUACAGUAUAAAGCUUUAAAAAAUAAAUUUAUCAUGAAGUUCACAUUUUCCUGCAGUGACUAUUUAGUAAGUACCUACUUCAUUGCAGGCUCUCUGUUAGGUACUGAAAACACAAUAGUGAAAUGCAAUAGACAAGCCUAUGUCUUCCUAUAGCAGUAUCUGGUGAGAUCAUGGGUUAGGAAAUGGAUAGCUGCAUCUCAAAGUAACACAUCUUGGCAAUAAUAGCAACAGAGGGACUAUAGGAGCAAAGAGGGGAGGGGACUAAGCCUGAAGCAUUGAGAGAAGGAGUCAGAAAAGACUACGGGGAAGAAAUGAUGUCGAACUGGAAAGAGGAAGAAUGAUGAAGAAUUAUUCAGGGAAGAAAUGUCAGGGGAAAAAAAGGAAUAGAAUGUGGGAGGGCCUGGGGAAAAGGCAAAGAGAGGAAUGGGCAAGGAAAAUCAGUGUGACUGAAAUCAAAGGACCAGGGGUAAGUCCGAGAGAUUAGGCUGGGGAGGUUAGCAGUAGUCAGGUUAUCCAGAGCCCUGUGAGCACAUGGAGAAUUGGAGAAUAACAUGAUCAAAUUUACAUUUAAGAACCAUUACUCUGGCUGUGAUGCGGAAGAUGACAUGAACAAGACAAGACAAGGGGCUUAGUUAGAUACCAUCACAUGGUAAUGUAAGUAAGAGAUGAGGCUGGCCUGAACCUGAGCUUUUGCAGUGGGGAUGGAGAGAAGUGAAUGGACUGGAGAGAAAUUUUGAGGUAGAGGGUACAAGAUUCAUUAAUAAAUGAAGGGAAGAACAGCAGGGUCAAGAACUAUGCCCAAGUUUCUGACUUUAUAGUAUUUCCAGUCACUGAGUCAAGGAAAAAAAAGAUUGAAUGAUUCAGGAAUAGCAGUUCAGAUUUAGGCAUGUGAAAUCAAGUUAUCUUUGGGAUAGACUACAGUAAUUUUCAGUUGUCAGGUAUAGCUGCAGGUUUAAAGCUCACGUGAAAAAUCAGACUGAGAUGGUAUUCUCAGAAUUAGCCUGUAGAAAGCAACUGAAACUGGUAACAUGUAAAGACACCAAAGGAGACU